This is a long non-coding RNA of Passer domesticus (house sparrow), 10461 nucleotides long. RefSeq lists it as uncharacterized. The record is from RefSeq and is a predicted model, not a curated record. NCBI's taxonomy places the organism in Eukaryota, Metazoa, Chordata, Aves, Passeriformes, Passeridae. The transcript has 4 exons.
AUAGUAUCCAUUUUACUGUGUUAAGCCACACAGUUUGUUAGCAGUCAAUAACACUGCUUUGGUGAUCACUAAACUUUAAAAUGUAGAGAAGCAAAGGCUAUUUUGCACAUCACUGUAUUUAUACACCACCUCUGCUGAUUGGGAAUUUUGUAAUUUCCAGAAUUUUAUGAAUGAAGAAAUGACCGCAUUGACCAAAGGAGGAUUUUGCAACUGAUGUAAUGUAAUGUGACAUGGAUUUUUAAGCAUUAAAAAUAAAAAAAUGAAGUUUAUAAGUUAAUUAUACUAAUAGGGGGCAAAUUAUCUUCUGCCUUGACUUCACUGGCUUUGAUUCAACAAGGGGUGAGGAUAUAAUCUUGCCAUUUAAAAUUCACAGUGGAAACCAAAGGAAAGGAGGAAAAAGAAAGGAAAAAAAAGCCUGAUAACAACAACAACAAAACUAAACCAUAACAAAGAGAAACUAACAAAAACCACACAAACCCCAAACUGCCCAACCAACCAAUACCAACACAAAACCUCUACAAGCAUCAACCAGCCACAAUGUAUUAGGUGUGUGGAUCUAGGGGAAAAAAAAAAGUAAGCAUUCUCAGCUUCCUAUUUAAGUUAAAAAAAAUUACUCUUAAAUCAGAAAUGUUAUUAUAACUGGCUUAAUUUACCUGGAACAAUCCAUAACACAACAGAUUUUUUACUUCUGUUUGAAAACUUGUAAGAAAUCCAUAUUUUGCAAAUCUGACUAUCUUUACAUGAGAGGUGUACAGAAAAGGAAGCAGCAGAUAAAGUUUCUCAACCACUACCUAUAAUUUAUGAUGUAAUAUGCUCAACUGCAGGAUUUGUUCAAGUGAAUAUAUGAUAUUGGCUUGUAAGCAUGACUAGCUAUCUUGUUUGCUCUGCCGUCAGAAACUGAAAGAUAAAUAUUUUCAGAGAAAGAAAAACUCAUAUUUAGUUCUUUGUAAUGUGAAUUUUUGUUGCAUCAAAUUUCUAUCAAGAUCAUAGCAAUGAAUUUCAAAUAUGGACUCCAGAGUACGGAGUAAGCUAAUUUAAGAAAAAAUCCUCAGGAUGUGUACUUCCUUCCUAAACUAAAUAAAACUCCCCCUUCCCCCAAAACUAAACCUCUAGCAAGUGAUUUGGAAAGUGACUCCAGAAAUACAUUUUUCAACUCAUUGAUUUCAGCUGAACUAAAAGUGCCAUAUUUUCUUAGAAAAUUGUAAAGGGUAUUUAUCUGUUACUGUCACACUUUAAUGAACUACUCGGUGCUUAAGGAGAAAAACCCACAACACAACACAAGGGAAAGUCUGAUGUUUACAUCAGUAGAAAUGUCUUUUUCAUUGGAAGGGUGCAAUUAUUAUUAUGUAAGACAAAUCAUAAAAUCCUCGAUUUUUCUACCUUAUCAGUUUCAUAAAAUCAUGUUCCCUAAGGAUGUCAUUGAUUAGUUGCACAUGUUCUUUCAGUGACAUCUGAAAUACUUAAUUGUCGGUUAUCUUUUCUCCUUCAGUAAGUAAAAUAUAGUCACAAAAUUGCAAAGGGACUUGUUCUGUCUUAACCUUAGCUAGAUGCCAUCAUGCAGUGGAAAACAGUGCUAAAAUAUCACAGGAUAAUGCUCUCCAACAAGGGAGACAUAUAAACAGCAUAAUGAUUUCCCAUGAGUUUCCUUUUUAGAAAAUUGUCACUAAAGCCAGGGUAAAUGGUGACAUAUCUUCACAGAGGACACUGUGAAAUCGAACACUGGCAUUCUAGUUAGGCCCAAACCUACUCAUCAGCCAAUUAUAACAGUAACUGAACAUCUUGCUGAAAAUCUGAACAAGAUCACUUCGCUAACCUUCAGAGAUCAUGCCAAAGAAAUGCAUCAUUUUCUAUUAUUAUUAUUGUUGUUGUUGUUGCUGGUUUUAAUGAAGAAAGACUUAAAAAUAAAUUUCUUACAGUCAUCUAUCACACUUUCUUGAGUUUGCUGGAAGAACAGUUGGAAAGGGAGAAAAGAGAGUGGGAGCUGAGUUACAGGGUUUUUACAGACUUUUCUAUUCAAUCGGGUUUAGUUUGAAAGGCUGUACUGUUAGGGUGAAAAAGUUCAUGACAGUUUUUCCUCUCUUCACAGGGAAAGAUGCUUCACAAUACCUAAUUCAGUGGUGCAGCUAAAAUGGGGGAAAAGAAAAUCAAUACAUUCCAGCUACAUCAGAUACUUCCAUGGAUACCCUUCUUCUAUGUUGAUCCUUGUGCAUCAGGGAGAAGGCUGCAUGGGAAAAAGAAGCGAAACCCUGCAACAGAUCUGACCAGCUCCAUGAGGAAUCUCCCACAGCUCUAACUCAUUUUGCUGGCUUUGCUCAGAACAAGGGAAGAGACAGAUGUUUGGUACUUGCUUCUCAUGGAUUCAAUCUGCAUCAGGAAUUAAUGUCAUCAGAAGUGUCAGAACUGGACAAAGAAAUUGCCUUCCUCUGCAAACACAGAAAUCCUGCUUUUUGUUCACACAGGACUUCAAUGUUUUUCUUGUAAAAAACCCACAAUCCCAAAACAACCCUCAUAACCCCCCCCACCCUUCCUUUUUUCACUCCUGCCACCCUGGCAAAAAAACUUCACCUCUCUUUCAGAGAAAUGAGCAUGCCUUGUUACAUGCUGCUCUGUAACUAUAGGAGCAAAUCAAUAGCAGCUGAAUGCCAUCUGCUUCGGGCAGCAGAACAGCACCAAAAGUGUGAGCAAUGCAUCUUCCCUUAUUGAAAGGUUAUUUUAUGCAAGUAAACAAUUCAUCGUCUUCUUGCACGCUUGAUGCUCAUUUACCACUUUUGAUCAAUAAAAUAUGCAAAACAACAAAAAAAUUGAAUCCUAAGAGUAGUUCUGAUGCCAGUGUGAUAGGUAAUCAAUACCAGGUCUCUGUUCAGUAAGGCAGCCAGUAGGGUAACUCCUUUAUUGUAUGAACCCAUGAGAAAGUGUGGAAAUGUGUCUUGUUACCUAUAAAAUGCAAUAAGAGAGUGAAAAACACAACUUCUAUCCUGAAAAUUAAAAAAAAAAAAAAAAAAAGGAAAGGGGAGCCACUAUUUUAGUUGUGUUUUCCCCCUAACUAUACAAAGGUUACUAAUGUCAACUUGCUUGAUCAUUUCUUGCAAAGAAUCAGCUGUUAUGGUGUUGAUAAAGCUCCACUAUCAUUAACACAGAUAUCUGGUUAAAUUGUAGUCAUUACAAUUGGACAACAAUCCCUCUUCCUUCUGAAGCUGCUCUACCUUAUUAAGCCUCAGUUUUCAAUGUAUUUAUGGUUCAGGUGAACUCAGUUUUUCUGUUAAAAACAAACUGCUAUGGGAAUUUCCUCUGCACAGUGUUUCUUUUAGUCAGACCACAAACUGCCUUAUUACAUUAAGCCUCUUGACAAUUGAUUCAAGUGGAAUACUUCUCUCCCAACAAAGAAAACAACAUCAUUUUUACAGAUACUGCAGAACAAAACCUCCAAUUUAAACGGUUUCCUAAAAUAACAUGAAAUACUUGAAAUAACAGCUGCUACCCACAAAUGCUCUCUAGUCUAGUGUACCAGAUAUCUUAAUAUUAAAAAAAAAUUAAAAUUAGUACUCUCUCAUUUGAACAGCAAUUUUGCAGAUUGUAUCACAAAGCCACAAGUUAAGCUGCACACCCUAUAUUCUGAUCUGCACUUCAAACCAAAUUCUCUUCAAUCUUCUUUCCUGCAUGAUUCUAGAAACGCAGUUAUUUGCGUAUGUGACCUUUACAUACAUUUGGUUAUUUGAACUGCAAAAAAGCUUGACAUUCUUCUGUAGAAGAGUAUCUUAUGCAGAGCUUCCAUUUAAGAGAACUAAUCAGUACAAUUAAAAAAAAAAACAAAAACAAACAACAAAACACCAACCAAAAAGCCUUGAUUUUUAAAAAUAUUUGCAAUGCAAAGACAUCUUCCAAUGCACAAGCUUUGAGAAAAGUUCUAUUAAAGUAAAAUCAAGAAAUACUGAAUACCCAAUUUCACCAUAACAUUAUAACCAAACAGUUAUAGUCGUGUAGUCAAGCAGCAGUGCUUCUACACAGGAAAGGCAAAAAAUUCUCUCCUUAGCAGCUCAGUUCUCAUUAUCAUCACAAAAAGAAGGCAACUGGAAGAACAUAUCUGUAAAUCAGCAUGUAUAGAAUUUUUAAGGUAAUUAUUGGUAAUAAAAAAACCCCAUAUUUGCAUAUUUGUGGAAAAAGUCCUUCUGAACAAUCAAUGAAACUUACUGAAUGUAAGAUAGAUUUGGGUUUAGGAUCUAUUUAAAUUUGUGAAUUAGAGGCAGGUUUAUAAGCAACAGUUCAAAAUUUUUCUUUUAUUACCUUGUAAGACCCCAAACAUUUAUAGUGGUAACAAGCAACUGCCCCUUCUGUAUAAUGUAGCUUGGAUCAUGUUCCUCCUGCAUACCUUCAAAAAUGCGUAUGAGUUUACAUGAACUUCAAUAUAUGGCUUGCACACAUUUAUAGAAGCCAAAACAACUUUGAUCAAAUUAAUAAUACAGAACAUAGUAGUGAAAGUGCAGUAGCUUGGAGUCAAUGACCCAACUAGCAGCAAGGGUAUAAUUUAAAGUCAGAAAUUUCCAGUGCAUGCACCGUUAGCCACAGUGAACCUGUUACUGCUCUAAAGGGAAUUGUUUGCCUCUUAUUAGAUUUUCUACAGCACAGCCAUAAGUGAUAAAUGUACUGCUGUACUCACUGUCAAGUUAAUCAAUGCUGCCAAAGUUUUGUUGACCUAACAGUAAUCCAUAAACUGAGCGGCAUUUUCUCUAUCCCUAUGACAUCUCGGUCCUCAGUGGGGAUACAAAUCUUACAACAGCUUCUCAAAAAGAAAAAAAACAAAAACAAAGCAAAGAAGGGGGAAAAAGAUAUUUUCAAAAUUCUGUCUUUAAAUUAGCAGACUGUGAGAAUGCCUUGCUUCUCUGACAAAUUGCUUAAAAAUGAUGGCCAUACAAUGGCAUCAGUUUGAUGGCUAAAAUACUAGCAAAUGGAUUACUUCAUGGAGGAUAGAGCCUUGACUACUAAAGAGAAGGUAAAAAACAGCUUCAUGAGUCUUUCAAGGAAACAGUUGUGAACACGAUUUAAAUGUAACUAUAGAUUAGUGCACUGGUUGGAACAGAACACAUUGCAGCAAUUCUGAAGACAGUAAUGUGAAAACAAUAAUAAAAAAUCACCACCAAUAAAACUUGUCUAUUGCUGUGUCUAGCUGUAAUUCACAGUCCAUGUGAGGCAUCACCACUAGAAAGAAGAAAAAGUCAGGAAACAAUCCCUGGUAGAACAAGCUGCUUUAUAACAAACUGCUGCCAUGCUCUCACAAGCAAUUAUAGACAUAUGAAAUAUGAAUUGCCAUUGAUUUUUCUUCUAGAGGUCACUCUGCUCCAUGUUUUACGCAGUCUAGGCAUUUAUUUGGGUGGCAAACUGACAAGUUUUUACAGAAUUAACAGACCAAUGUAAUCCUUUCUCAAUCACAAGUACUUCAUUAUGGUUCUAUUCCUUGACACUUGUCCCUCCCAAAACUCACCAGCAAGGGAGUCCUUCAUAAAGGUGAGGAACAAUGCAAUUACUUGUGAAAAGAGACCAUCCUAACCUAGUGAAUGCCUAUUUACCUUUUCUGUGCUGAUGGCACACAAGCAGCAUCAGCUGGAAGGCUGCGCUUGUCACACCAUAGCAAUACUGUGGACAAUAUUCUGAUUUGGCUAAAAACUCUCCACAUUCUUGUUCUUGAAAUAGAGAUGACUUCUCCAAAACAGAGAAAAAAUACUGUAAUUUAGCUUGCUAACAGAAGCAAAAGAGUUACCUGUAUUUCUGGUAAAGAUUAUAAUAACAUUAGAAUGCUGUAAGAAUGCCAAGAUGUUCUCUAUAAAUCCUGUAUUUUUGAUGGUAUAUUCUCAUUUAGCAAUUACUUGAUGUUUCUCACUCAGCAACAAGAGAAUACUUAAUUAUGGUCAGUAAACUCCACAAAGGAGGUUGAAAUUGAGUAUCACAGAUUAAUGAAUCAUGUAUUCUGGCAUUUUAGACAGCAAUCUUUCUUUUUUCUAUUACUCGCUUUGGAACAAAGAUUUGGUCUCCAUGUUUCCCACACAAAAAGAAUUCAUUAAAAAGUGCUGUGUUGCACCUCUUCUUCCCAGUGGUCAUUCUUUCUCUGAAGGCUCCUGUUUGCUUUAUAAGAAAGCUGUUGCAUCUGAAGCUAGGUAAAAGUGUUAUUUAAGUCAAGUUUCUUGGUGCUUCAAUGAAAAGGCAACACAGUACUAUAUAAAAUGGUACAGAGAGAUUAAUCAGACUCUAACCUCCACAAUGAGGAAAUAAAAACGAGUAUGCUACCAGAUGUGGAUGUAGUGCAACAGUUCAGAAAGGAUUUAUAGCAGAACUGAGAUCAACAAAACACCUAUCUUUGUCUGUUUACUGGCCAAAGAGAUGAUCUUCAAUACAUGAAUAAAGUCAAAGGGACAAAAUUAAAUAUCAGGGGAAAAAAGAACAGAACAAAAAAAGGCUGGAAGAUGGAGAGCUAAAAGAAUCUGAAGAAUGUGCAAGAAUCUGCUAUAGAUAGAAAAAAAGAUAACAUGGUGGUCAUAACUGGUAAAUAUGCUACAGGGAAAAUAAUUUACAUGUCUUCAUACACAUAGUAACAAACCCAUCAGUCUUGUCUGACUUCCUUGGUGAGCAUCACUGCUCUGUAAAACUAGGCAAAAAUAAUUAAUGAACUAAAGAAAUUUUGAUUAUUUUUGGAAUUUUCUGCCACUUAAAAGUUGGGUUGAGAUGUCAAAUCUGGCUGCUGGACCUCUUCACUGAAAUGUCUAUACUUUUACAUUAAUAAUGCAUUUCCUGAGCUUCUGCACUGAAAUCAGUUAUCAAGAGCCUCCUACAACAUUAGAGGGCAAAUUUGUCACAAAACCCACUAAUCUUUAUUGCCAAUACUACGAAAAGACCCCAAUAUUCUGUGGUAACUUACUCUUGCAGUACCUGUUCUUGUAAUUCCAGCACUUAAAACUGGAUAACUAAUUCAGGUCACAUAAUUAAACUUGUCUGAAUUUGAUUAAUUAUAAAAAAAAAAUUCCCCUGUAAAGCAGGUGAGCACUACUGCAUGGCAUUUAAAUACAACAUCAUUACAGAAACACAAAUUGCUUCAUAACUGUGAAAUUAUACAACUGCUGCUGUUCAAAACUAUUAGCACAUAUCACUGCUUGACCUUGACUGAGCCCAAAUACGCAGAGAAAUGUCUGAUGGGAUAAUGUGGAGAUGGCUGCUUAAAUGCUGCUGGUUGCAAGACUGUAGACUGAAUUCUGUGCAUGGUCUUUGUUCCUCCAUACUCUGCUGUGGCUUUGUGAAUGCUUUUCUUUAUCAGUGUUACAUCAGUUCCCACUGAACUAUGUGUGAGAGCUGGAUCCCACAGUGAAAGUGCACUUGAAGAUCUGGAUGCCUCAACAUCUGAAGAAACUAAGAGAGCUUUCAGCUGUCUAAUUUCCUCAUGAUUUUUGGGAGAUAAUCUGAGUAUUUUUCAGAAGCCAGCAUUAAGGGGAAGCUGCUCAGAAGACCAUGGUUACACAGAAUACAACUGUGAUCGUAUUCAGGUGUGACUUGCCAGCAGGAUACCAAGAAAAAUACUGUAAAUUACCUGUAUUCAAAGUCCUAUGUCUGUUAAAGCAUACACAUAACUGGAAUGACAUUUUCUCAGAAGGUUUUAUUGGGAAAGUUAUCAUUGACCUUUUCAUUUUCCUAGAAUAGAUGUACCCAGUGGGUUGCAACAGCAUAAGAAAUAAGAUUUUCAUCCAACCAUUUUAAAACUGUAAUUCUGCAAAAGUAGACUACAGCCACAUUGCUGCUGUAAAGGCCAGAGAUGCACCACACAAACUGAUGCUCUAAGAGAGCAGUUUUAAAAGUUGCGUCAGCUGGUAUAUUUGUGCUGUCAAUUUACGGGAAUGAUGACAACACACAGAGCAGCAAUACAACUUACCUAGCUAAGACAGUUCUAUAAAAACUGAAGAAAUUAGUCUAUUUUAUGUGCUGCCUUCUUGAUGGAGUACAUUACUCCAAAGCAGAGUAUACAAAGCAAUUAUCAACAAGCAAACUCCUAAAACAUUUUUCAACCUAUCUGUACUCGGAGCCUGUAAGUUUAUUUCAAUAUCUAAGGUGACAGAGAGACUUUCUACUCAUGAUGAUGCUGACACCAUCACCAGGUGCUUUUUCUGUUUUGUCAUUAAGAGAAAUAGCCAGAGGACCCAUAUGCAGAAUGAUGUUUACACCAUGUGGACCAAUGCAAUUUGGCAUGCACAGGCAGCUGGAAGAAAGGAACACCCAUCCAAAAGUUCGAGAUAUAUAGGAACACAAACCUGUACUAAAAGGGAAUCAAAAUAUAGUGCAUAGGCUAAGUCUCGACCAAAUACAGGGGUUACUGAUUAUUAACAUAAGCAAAGCACACUUGGAGAUUACUGUGUCUACAAAACACAAGUGUUGAAGUAUAUGCAGGGCUUUCUUAUGCUUUAGAUGCAAUUAGAAUAAAUCUUGUGAUGGUUCUGAAUCGCAUGAUUUGUGAUUCUCCCAGGUCUUUUAUUUCUGUAUCACAUAUAAAAUUUUCCUUUGUGCUUAGUGGCUACUCUCAACUCUGUUUUGUUGCAUCAGUGCUUCUUACUGCUUUACGUAAAAUUUGCAUUCAUUGAUAAUGUUGGUUCAGUCUAACUGUUAUACUGAGCUUUGAACUAAUUGCUCUCAAUUAAUCUGUUCCACUCUUUGAUAGCUUAUUUAUCAGAUUGGGAAAGAUAGAUUUAAUGGUGCUUGCUGGAAACAAGUUCUUUAAUUGGAAAUACCUGAGUGCUUAGCUCACUUCGUGCUCUGGCAAUUAAGGACAAUUUGGAAAAGCGUUUUUCCCCCUACUUGAUUAGAUAUCCAAAGAAGUAGACAAAACAAAUGACAACACCACCUAGCAAUAUUGGUUAAAAUAAAAGCUCAGCAGCCAAAUUACUUACUAUGAGAAAUGUGAACCAUCCCCAUCAAUUCCAAUGCUGUGUUACAUUCAUUUUGCUGUAUCUUUGCCUCCCAAGUACGUAAAUGGCAAAAUUUCUUUCAAAAUGCAUAGCUCUAUGCCUGCCUCUAUACAAUUAUCCCUUUCCACAAAUAAGCCAAAUCAACAGAAGAAAUUAUUUUUCUUGAUUAAGCUCCUGCAUUUCUCUUGGGAUGAAACAAAACAAACAAUUAAUCUUUCCUUAUUUGUUCUCAGAAGAACCUGCAUCCCUUAAACAAUAACCAGGGUACCUGUGGCAGGCAGUCGGCAGCAAUUAGGCUUGUGCUGAAAACGAAUGGACUAGAGUCAGAAUGCCUAAUCUGCUGAGAGUUUCUACAGGAGGGCAAGGUUAGACCAGGAAAAUUCCCUUGCUGUGGAAACACUGUUAAAAAUUACCACCUGACUUCAGCAUAAUUAACAAGGUUUGGGAAUUUAUAUGAACUGAGUAAUUGAAAAGAAUUAGCAAGAGAUAUAUACAUUAAUCUUUGCCAGUUACGACAUGCCUAAUGAAAUUAAAGGUUCUACUUCUGCUUCAUGCUUUGUUUCUGCAAACUUUUUCCAUCUCUACAGAGGAAAAAGUAUAUUAGAUAAAGACAAUUAUAAUUAUAAGAAAUUACAAAGAAGAAACUGCACCACAAGCCUCUAUUUUUACAUCAAUACUUAAAAAUUUUCUUAUAUAUAACUCACAGUGUUUAUCAUAAGUAACCCUGGAAACUUCCAAUUUGAAUGUCCAUAUUUUCAAAGUCUACAGGAAAAAUCCACAUCAGUUAUAAAUUUAGGCAUGAUUCAAUAACGUGUGUUUGUUUGCAAAUGUACCUUCACAGAAAUCAAGACUAUCUCAGUCAAAAAAUUCUGCAAUGAAUGGGUUUAGUAAAAUGUGCUUUUUUACAUGUAACUAAAUCUAUAUUAUAUUUGGACAACAGAGACCAUAAGCAGGAGGAAAAAAAAAGACAAUCAAUAGUGAUGUGGGUAGACACAGACAAUGUCGGAGAAGAUAACAAGCAUUUGUUAUUCUUCUAAGCUACCCAUGACCAUAGGACCUUCUCCCCUUACUUCACCCUGAAAUCCUUCAACAUCUUUCAGAAAGGAGUCACCUAAGACUGCAUAAAUGCCAAGAAAGGCAUCACACAGAGACACACGGGAAUUAUACCUAAUGCAGGAGCAUUCAAUUUACUACAGAACCAAAGGAGAAGGCUCACUGACUACCUUGCCACAACCUGUCUCAGGAAGACUAUUUGCCUCUUCCUCUGCUCACCUCUCAUAGCUACUGAUAGACCAGCUCUCAUGUUUUGCUUAGCGGUCCUUCUUGCAAAGAAUUCUUCUGUUCCUAUGCUCCUUGCUUUCAACAUCUAAACCAGAAGUUCAAGAAUUACUGCUUAUUUAUUUCAGUAUCUUUCUGGUAACCCCCUGUGAUUUGUUCCACAGCUUGUUGGGUUUUGUUUGCUUGGUUUUUUGGUUGCUUUUUUUUUUUCAGAAUGUUCUAUGUUAAAUGAUACAAACAAUAUUGGACA